UUCUUUAUCAUUUCCAUGAUAGCUUCAUGAAGCUUUUGCGGGUCAGAUAUAGACUUGGACACAGUCUCCUUUUCCAAGCAUCUCCCAGCCCAUUCCACAAUCCCAGGGCAAUCCACUGUCAUACUAAAGUUUCCCAGACUCUCGUACGUAUAAAACAUGCUAUAGAAAGGGAUAAGUGCCAUAUCUACGUAACCAAAGCUCUCCCCUGCAAAAAAUGUCUUGUUUCCAAGCUCCUUUUCCAAUGUUUGAAAGCUUUGAAUCAGGUUCUUCGUGUAUGUUUCUUUCACUUCUCCUUCAGAUGUCCACAGCAUCCUUCCAUUCGGGUAAAACUUCUUGUCAAUAUAGUCAGCCCAGAACCUGGCAUGAGCUCGUUGAUAAGGAUCAGAUGGCAAUAGCGGAGCUCUAUCAUUCCAGACCUCAUCAAUAUAUUGGAUAAUGAUCAUGGAUUCGCAUAUGGGUUUUCCAUUAUGGAUCAAGACAGGGAUUUGCUUAUGAACAGGGUUCAUCUCAAGAAGAAGAGGGCUUUUGUUGUUCAAGUCUUCUUCCUUUAACUCAUACUUUACUCGCUNNNNNNNNAUCUUCACCCUUUCUCCAAAACGAGUAACCUGGGCAGCCAGCAGAACUACUUCCUCAUCUGCCAUUUUUUACACUCGCUACUCCAUCAACUGAUAAUCAAC
RNAcentral lists this unclassified non-coding RNA (677 nucleotides) under Hevea brasiliensis (rubber tree). Lineage: Eukaryota; Viridiplantae; Streptophyta; Magnoliopsida; Malpighiales; Euphorbiaceae. The record is from RNAcentral.